This 301-nucleotide ribosomal RNA is filed under the name uncultured bacterium. Its description in RNAcentral is "partial 16S ribosomal RNA". It matches the Rfam family "Bacterial small subunit ribosomal RNA", at positions 509 to 807 of the family's 1533-position model. The record is from RNAcentral.
CAGUCGCCGCGGUAAUACGAAGGGUGCAAGCGUUACUCGGAAUUACUGGGCGUAAAGCGUGCGUAGGUGGUGGUUUAAGUCCGUUGUGAAAGCCCUGGGCUCAACCUGGGAAUUGCAGUGGAUACUGGGUCACUAGAGUGUGGUAGAGGAUAGUGGAAUUUCCGGUGUAGCAGUGAAAUGCGUAGAGAUCGGAAGGAACAUCUGUGGCGAAGGCGACUAUCUGGGCCAACACUGACACUGAGGCACGAAAGUGUGGGGAGCAAACAGGAUUAGAUACCCCAGUAGUCCCUGUCUCUUAUAC